GAUGAACGCUGGCGGCGUGCCUAAUACAUGCGAGUCGAGCGAACGGACGAGAAGCUUGCUUCUCUGAUGUUAGCGGCGGACGGGUGAGUAACACGUGGAUAACCUACCUAUAAGACUGGGAUAACUUCGGGAAACCGGAGCUAAUACCGGAUGAUAUUUUGAACCGCAUGGUUCAAAAGUGAAAGACGGUCUUGCUGUCACUUAUAGAUGGAUCCGCGCUGCAUUAGCUAGUUGGUAAGGUAACGGCUUACCAAGGCAACGAUGCAUAGCCGACCUGAGAGGGUGAUCGGCCACACUGGAACUGAGACACGGUCCAGACUCCUACGGGAGGCAGCAGUAGGGAAUCUUCCGCAAUGGGCGAAAGCCUGACGGGGCAACGCCGCGUGAGUGAUGAAGGUCUUCGGAUCGUAAAACUCUGUUAUUAGGGAAGAACAUAUGUGUAAGUAACUGUGCACAUCUUGACGGUACCUAAUCAGAAAGCCACGGCUAACUACGUG
RNAcentral lists this ribosomal RNA (497 nucleotides) under uncultured bacterium. RNAcentral describes it as "partial 16S ribosomal RNA". It matches the Rfam family "Bacterial small subunit ribosomal RNA", at positions 28 to 507 of the family's 1533-position model. The record is from RNAcentral.